Molecule: ribosomal RNA, 1128 nt
Filed under: Triticum aestivum (bread wheat)
Lineage: Eukaryota; Viridiplantae; Streptophyta; Magnoliopsida; Poales; Poaceae
Description: partial small subunit ribosomal RNA
Source: RNAcentral
AUGGCGCCCUCCACCACCACCGGUGCUGUCCCAGUCCCACGAUGUCCUGUUAUCUUCAACGGACAGAACUACAGGGACUGGGUGCAGCACAUGAAGCUUCACAUGAGGGGCCAGCUGGUCUGGGAGCACCUCUCUGGUGCUCUGCCUUGUCCCCUGCUGCCCACUCCUCCAGCUGAGUUGGCCUUCCCUGUUGAUGCCGAUGAAACCAAGCAACGUGAGAUGCUAGAUGCUUUUGAAGAGGCCACUGAAGAGUAUCAGAAUCAACUCCACUUAUACAAGCAAUGGACAAAUGAUGAUGCUCGAGCCUCUUCUAUCUUGGUGAACAACAUGGAUGUUGAUCUCACCAUGGAUGUGGUGGCCCUUACCACUGCAUAUCAGAUGUGGGAGCACCUUCGCCAUCGCUAUGAGUCUACAGGGGAUGCCAUGUAUCUCUCUGUUGUUCGUCAAGAGCAACAACUACAACAGGGAGAUGCUACUGUGGAUGAUUUCUACAAGGAGAUGUCGGCGGUGUGGCACCAAUUGGACUCUCUGGGAGCUGAUGUUUGUCGCAGAUGUCAGUUUUGUGUGUGGCAACAAGCUAAGCUGGAGGUUCGUCACCUCUACGACUUCCUCACUCGCCUCCGGCCGGAGUUCGAGCAGAGUCGUGCUCAGCUAUUGGCACGCCAUCCUCGGCUCUCUACUCCGGAGGCCCUUGCUGGGGUGCGAUCUGAGGAGGUGCGCCUACGGAGCACGGGCUUAUUGCCAUCCUCUUCAGCAGUCCUGGCUGCCCGCGUUCCACCACCGCUGCCUGGUGUGCCCUCUUCUACACAGGUGGCAACAACCUCCACUAGUGCUUUCUGCAACUACUGCAAGCAGGAUGGUCACAUGAUCACGGAGUGCAUCAAGAGGAGGAAACAGGGUCGCCGUGGUGGCCGUCCUCAAAAGGACUCAGGAGGCUCCUCUAAUUCUCGUGAGGGCUCCCUUGAGAAGGUUCACCAGGAGAUGCUCACCUUGCUGCGCCGCCUUACUGCUUCUGCACCAUCCUCAGGUUCUGCUGGUUCUGCUGGUCAGACGUCUGGUCCACCACCGCACUCUUCGUCAGGACUGUCGUACGGGGACUCUGGUUGGGAUCGGUCCUUGGCGCCAUGA